Molecule: ribosomal RNA, 499 nt
Filed under: uncultured bacterium
Lineage: Bacteria
Description: partial 16S ribosomal RNA
Rfam family: Bacterial small subunit ribosomal RNA
Source: RNAcentral
GAUGAACGCUGGCGGCGUGCCUAAUACAUGCAAGUCGAGCGAACAGACGAGAGUGCUUGCACUCUCUGACGUUAGCGGCGGACGGGUGAGUAACACGUGGGUAACCUACCUAUAAGACUGGGAUAACUUCGGGAAACCGGAGCUAAUACCGGAUAAUAUUUAGCUUCGCAUGAAGCAAUAGUGAAAGACGGUUCUGCUGUCACUUAUAGAUGGACCCGCGGUGUAUUAGCUAGUUGGUGAGGUAACGGCUCACCAAGGCAACGAUACAUAGCCGACCUGAGAGGGUGAUCGGCCACACUGGGACUGAGACACGGCCCAGACUCCUACAGGAGGCAGCAGUAGGGAAUCUUCCGCAAUGGACGAAAGUCUGACGGAGCAAUGCCGCGUGAGUGAAGAAGGUUUUCGGAUAGUAAAACUCUGUUGUAAGGGAAGAACAAGUACGUUAGUAACUGAACGUACCUUGGCGGUACCUUACCAGAAAGCCACGGCUAACUACGUG